RNAcentral lists this long non-coding RNA (2038 nucleotides) under Mus musculus (house mouse). RNAcentral's name for it is "long non-coding RNA chr15:59153950-59155988". Lineage: Eukaryota; Metazoa; Chordata; Mammalia; Rodentia; Muridae. The record is from RNAcentral.
ACUGAACAAAGAGCUGCAGUAAUUGUCAGCAUCUCAAAAAACAAAGGCUGGGUUUAAGGAUCAACCUGAGAGGAGGUCGCUGCGGCCCGGGUUUUAAGGCCUAACAAGUAGGGUUCUAGGAAUGUUUUCCAGGGAAACAAAACUGAAGAAGUUUAAGUUUAAGUCCAUUCAUUUGCAAAUUGGCGGUCUAAGGGGCUGAGGUCUUCAGCUGUGGGAUCAGGAGGGAAUGUAGCAGAAGACUGGUUUGUGGCGACAGUGCCAGGCUGCCAGGUGAGGUCUACUAGGAUCUUAUACUAUUACUCUUAAUCUUCAAAACAGGUAAUCACCUGGUAUUCUUCUCUUCAUGGAAAAGUGGCAAAGAGUUCAGGGCCGGACCUGCCCAGUGGUUGGCUGGUACUCCCAGCAAAACAGAAAUUUAAACUCAAGGCAGUGUGACUCCAAGCUCCCGGCCAGAGGCAGGGUUGGGUGUGAAGGUUGUCCUUUGUUCUUGAUGCUUAGCCCCCUCCUCCCAGCUCCCAGUGCACACGUGUGUCUGGAGGCCUCUUUGGCCUGGUCUGGGGCAGUGUUGUCUGAUCACCCUCUCCUGUUCAGUGUGAGGACAGUCAGCUAUUUGUCGGAAAGCCAGAGGCAAAAGAGUUCAGACGCCUUUUGCUUCCUGAGUAGGGAGGUGGCUUUGCCCUGUGGGGAGCAUCAGUUGGAGGGAGAUGAAUUUAGCUGCCCUCCCUGGUUGGUGAUGGGGGAGGGUCUUGUCAGCCAGAGGAUGUAGGCUUAGCUCCAAAAGGGCUUUUGUCUGAGGCUGGGCCUUAAGCCAGAGUGACAUUCUUUGGUGCAGGCUGCCAGGCCACCACUGAGUGGGCACCUGCGGGGCAGCUAAGGAAGGAGUGAGGGGCCUGUCUUUCUUCCGCAGAGGAGAGCAUGUGGGGAUGGAAUCUGCCAUUUGAGGGUCCCUGUGGUGCUGAGGCUAUGUCUGUGGUUGCUCCUGGCUGCAGAAGACAUGCCAGGGCCCAGGCAACCCAGGAAUGUGGGCAAUUAACAUUUUAGCUUCUGUCAUGUCUGAUAAAAAUCCCCACAGGAUGAAAGGAAUCCACUCUAUCUUGCAAAGUGCAGCAGAAGAAACCUAAGACCACAGAAAGACCUGAAAGCCUCUGCCACAGCUCCCUGUGAAGAGUGGGUACCACCACCCUUGGCUGAAGACGUGCUUUGUGUCCCCCUGAGCCCUCUGCACAGGUGGGUCUGCCAUGUCCCCUGCUGUGGGUGAUGGCUGCUGAUUCUCACAAAGGCCUCUUCUCUGGGGACUUUCCCUUUUCCUUCAGGAGCCACCCUCAACAGGGAGGUUGCAUAAAUUAUUUGCAUCUUGAGGGUCCUCCACUGCAGCCAGUGCCUGACAGAGUACCCUAAGGGGGCAGCAGGCCUAGGGAGUAGUUCACUGUCCAGAGCCCUGUAGGACCAGUCUGAGUUAAGACUUUGACCAACAUCACUGACAUUAGCUCAUCCCUUGCUAGUACUGCUCUCUUGCUCUCCCUCCCCUGCCUCUUCUGUGAGUGUGUGUAUGAGUGAGUGUAGUGUGUGUGUGUCUGUGUGUGUUUCUUUGAAUGUGCACAUAGAAACUAGAGGUUAAUGUCAGGAUUUUUUUUUCUCUCAUUCAUCACUUUAUUUUUGGAGACAGGCUCUCUCAAGAAAGCCAGAACUUGCUAUUUUGCCUAGACUGGCUAGCCAUGGUGCCCUGAGGAAUCCUCUUGUCUCCACCCUGUCUAGUGCUAGCAUCGCAGAUGUGCCAUGCCCAGCUCGUGUCUGAACUUAGCUCCUCAUGUCUGCAUGGCAAACACUUUACCACAGAGCCAUCUUCCCAAAUCUCACCCCAGCACAUCCUCUUACAUGAGAAUCCCAGUACUUGGAGCUGGUGAAGUAAGUGGCUUAGAGGUUAAGAAUGCUUCCUGCUCUUCCAGAAGUCCCGAGUUCACAUACCACUGGGCACAACUGCCUGUAAACUCCAGUUUCCCAGGAUCCGGCGCCCACAGAUAUCUGCCUGUCUAUACAU